GUUUGAUCAUGUCAAAGUUGGAACGCUGGCGGGAUGCUUUACACAUACCAAGUCAGACAUAACGGCACGAACUGGUCUGGUGGCGAGUGGCGAGCGGUGAGUAAUGUGUCGGAACGUGCCUAGUAGCGGGGGAUAACUACGCGAAAGCGUAGCUAAUACAUACGCCCUUCGGGGAAAGCAGGGGACCUUCGGGCCUCGCACUAUUAGAACGGCCGAUGUGGUUAAGUAGUUGGUGGGUAACGGCUCGCAAGGCGACGAUCGUUAGCUGGUUUGAGAGAGGACGACCAGCCACUGGGACUGGGACGGCCCAGACUCCUACGGGAGGCAGCAGUGGGGAAUUUUGGACAAUGGGGGAAACCCUGAUCCGGCCAUCCCGCGUGUGCGAUGAAGGCCUUCGGGUUGUAAAGCACUUUGGCAGGAAAGAAACGGCACGGGAUAAUACCCCGUGCAACUGACGGCCUGCAGAAUAAGCACCGGCUAACUACGUGCCAGCAGCCGCGGUAAUACGUAGGGUACAAGCGUUAAUCAGAGUUACUGGGCGUAAAGCGUGCGCAGGCGGUUCGGGAAGAAAGAUGUGAAAUCCCGGAAGCUUAACUUUGGAACUGCAUUUUUAACUACCGAGCUAGAGUGUGUCAGAGGAGGUGGAAUUCCGCGUGUAGCAGUGAAAUGCGUAGAUAUGCGGAGGAGCACACCGAUGGCGGAGGCAGCCUCCUGGGAUAACACUGACGCUCAUGCACGAAGCGUGGGAGCAAACGGGAUUGAAUGCCCUGGUAGUCCACGCCCUAAACGAUGUCAACUAGCUGUUGGGGCCUUGAACCUUGGUAGCGCAACUAACGCGUGAAGUUGACCGCCUGGGAAGUACGGUCGCAAGAUUAAAACUCAAAGGAAUUGACGGGGACCCACUGGUGGAUGAUGUGGAUUAAUUCGAUGCAACGCGAAAAACCUUACCUACCCUUGACAUGGAAUCCCGAAGAGAUUUGGGAGUGCUCGCAAGAACCGGAACACAGGUGCUGCAUGGCUGUCGUCAGCUCAUUGUCGUGAGAUGUUGGGUUAGAAUCCGCAACGAGCGCAACCCUUGUCAUUAGUUGCUACGAAAGGGCACUCUAAUGAGACUGCCGGUGACAAACCGGAGGAAGGUGGGGAUAUCAAGUCCUCAUGGCCCUUAUGGGUAGGGCUUCACGUCAUACAAUGGUCGGGACAGAGGGUCGCCAACCCGCGAGAGGCCAAUCCCGAGAAACCCGAUCGUAGUCCGGAUCGCAGUCUGCAACUCGACUGCGUGAAGUCGAAUCGCUAGUAAUCGCGGAUCAGCAUGUCGCGGUGAAUACGUUCGGGUCUUGUACACACCGCCCGUCACACCAUGGGAGUGGGUUUUACCAAGUAGUUAGCCUAACCGUAAGGAGAGCGAUUACCACGGUAAGUUCAUGACUGGGGUGAAGUCGUAACAAGGUAA
RNAcentral lists this ribosomal RNA (1450 nucleotides) under uncultured Bordetella sp. RNAcentral describes it as "partial 16S-23S ribosomal RNA intergenic spacer". It matches the Rfam family "Bacterial small subunit ribosomal RNA". The record is from RNAcentral. Lineage: Bacteria; Pseudomonadati; Pseudomonadota; Betaproteobacteria; Burkholderiales; Alcaligenaceae.